This 435-nucleotide ribosomal RNA is filed under the name uncultured bacterium. Its description in RNAcentral is "partial 16S ribosomal RNA". It matches the Rfam family "Bacterial small subunit ribosomal RNA", at positions 29 to 507 of the family's 1533-position model. The record is from RNAcentral.
AGCGAACGCUGGCGGCAGGCUUAACACAUGCAAGUCGAGCGGGCAUCUUCGGAUGUCAGCGGCAGACGGGUGAGUAACACGUGGGAACGUACCCUUCGGUUCGGAACAACUCUGGGAAACUGGAGCUAAUACCGGAUACGCCCUUAUGGGGAAAGGUUUACUGCCGAAGGAUCGGCCCGCGUCUGAUUAGCUAGUUGGUGGGGUUACGGCCUACCAAGGCGACGAUCAGUAGCUGGUCUGAGAGGAUGAUCAGCCACACUGGGACUGAGACACGGCCCAGACUCCUACGGGAGGCAGCAGUGGGGAAUAUUGGACAAUGGGCGCAAGCCUGAUCCAGCCAUGCCGCGUGAGUGAUGAAGGCCUUAGGGUUGUAAAGCUCUUUUGUCCGGGACGAUAAUGACGGUACCGGAAGAAUAAGCCCCGGCUAACUUCGUG